AUCAAUAAGCGGAGGAAAAGAAACCAACAGGGAUUGCCCCAGUAACGGCGAGUGAAGCGGCAAGAGCUUCAAAUUUGAAAGCUGGCUCCUUCGGGGUCCGCAUUGUAAUUUGCAGAGGAUGUUUCGGGAGCGGCUCCCAUCUAAGUGUCCUGGAACGGACCGUCAUAGAGGGUGAGAAUCCCGUAUGGGAUGGGGUGUCCGCGCCCGUGUGAAACUCCUUCGACGAGUCGAGUUGUUUGGGAAUGCAGCUCUAAAUGGGUGGUAAAUUUCAUCUAAAGCUAAAUAUUGGCCGGAGACCGAUAGCGCACAAGUAGAGUGAUCGAAAGAUGAAAAGCACUUUGAAAAGAGAGUUAAAAAGCACGUGAAAUUGUUGAAAGGGAAGCGUUUGCGAUCAGACUCGCCUUCGGGGUUCAGCCUGCCUUCGGGCAGGUGUACUUCCCCGUCGGCGGGCCAGCGUCGGUUUGGGUGGCCGGUCAAAGGCCCUGGGAAUGUAACGCCUCUCGGGGCGUCUUAUAGCCCAGGGUGUCAUGCGGCCUACCCGGACCGAGGAACGCGCUUCGGCUCGGACGCUGGCAUAAUGGUCGUAAACGACCCGUCUUGAAACACGGACCAAGGAGUCUAACAUCUAUGCGAGUGUUCGGGUGUCAAACCCGUGCGCGAAGUGAAAGCGAACGGAGGUGGGAACCCUUUGGGUGCACCAUCGACCGAUCCUGAUGUCUUCGGAUGGAUUUGAGUAAGAGCAUAGCUGUUGGGACCCGAAAGAUGGUGAACUAUGCCUGAAUAGGGCGAAGCCAGAGGAAACUCUGGUGGAGGCUCGCAGCGGUUCUGACGUGCAAAUCGAUCGUCAAAUUUGGGUAUAGGGGCGAAAGACUAAUCGAACNNUCUNGUAGCUGGUUCCUGC
RNAcentral lists this ribosomal RNA (901 nucleotides) under Penicillium multicolor. Its description in RNAcentral is "LSU rRNA". It matches the Rfam family "Eukaryotic large subunit ribosomal RNA", at positions 42 to 961 of the family's 3401-position model. The record is from RNAcentral. Lineage: Eukaryota; Fungi; Ascomycota; Eurotiomycetes; Eurotiales; Aspergillaceae.